AGAACGAACGCUGGCGGCGUGCCUAACACAUGCAAGUCGAACGGAAUGAGGGGCUUGCUCCUCAUUUAGUGGCGCACGGGUGAGUAACGCGUAGAUAAUCUGCCUGAUGAUCCGGGAUAACAUUUCGAAAGAGGUGCUAAUACCGGAUAAGCCCACGACGGCCUUGGUCGAUGCGGGAAAAGGGGGGGACCUUCGGGCCUUCUGUCAUCAGAUGAGUCUGCGUACCAUUAGCUAGUUGGUAGGGUAAUGGCCUACCAAGGCUACGAUGGUUAGCUGGUCUGAGAGGAUGAUCAGCCACACUGGAACUGAGACACGGUCCAGACUCUACGGGAGGCAGCAGUGGGAAUUUGCGCAAUGGGCGAAAGCCUGACGCAGCAACGCCGCGUGAGUGAUGAAGGCUUUCGGUCGUAAAGCUCUGUACGAGGGAAAGAAAGUGGUAAUUGCGGCUAAAUACCCGACGAAUACUUAGACGGUAACCCCUAAAAGGAAGACGACCGGACUAACUCCG
This 508-nucleotide ribosomal RNA is filed under the name uncultured soil bacterium. RNAcentral describes it as "bacterial SSU rRNA". It matches the Rfam family "Bacterial small subunit ribosomal RNA", at positions 26 to 505 of the family's 1533-position model. The record is from RNAcentral.